CCAAAACACUAGGGGUGUCCAUUCGUGGGCUGAGAUGUUGAUUUGUCAGCGAUCCCUUAGAACCUGUCAAGUUCAAACUUGCGAAGGGAACGUGUCGUGGCACCCAC
This 107-nucleotide non-coding RNA is filed under the name Levilactobacillus senmaizukei. RNAcentral's name for it is "Lactobacillus senmaizukei TPP sequence". It matches the Rfam family "TPP riboswitch aptamer (THI element)". From Rfam's summary of the family: Vitamin B(1) in its active form thiamin pyrophosphate (TPP) is an essential coenzyme that is synthesised by coupling of pyrimidine and thiazole moieties in bacteria. The previously detected thiamin-regulatory element, thi box was extended, resulting in a new, highly conserved RNA secondary structure, the THI element, which is widely distributed in eubacteria and also occurs in some archaea. Analysis of operon structures identified a large number of new candidate thiamin-regulated genes, mostly transporters, in various prokaryotic organisms. Lineage: Bacteria; Bacillati; Bacillota; Bacilli; Lactobacillales; Lactobacillaceae. The record is from RNAcentral.